This is a long non-coding RNA of Hipposideros armiger (great roundleaf bat), 1930 nucleotides long. RefSeq lists it as uncharacterized. Lineage: Eukaryota; Metazoa; Chordata; Mammalia; Chiroptera; Hipposideridae. The transcript has 3 exons. The record is from RefSeq and is a predicted model, not a curated record.
AAUAAAAAAUGGGUGGCGGGGGGCGGAAGGGGGUGCGGUUACUCUCUCUCAUUCUUCAGCAAGGUUCCCAGGGCCAGGCAUCAGGGAGUGUCCCAGCCUCACAUUCAAAAAAUAGGCGUCAUCUCGAUUCGGUCAUAAGGGUCCCAGUAUUAUUGAGCUGGUGUCCAGCCCAUGCCCAAGUCUGCCCUUGGCUCUCUCUGUAUAGGUUUGCUUCUCCUGCAUCCCUUUCCUCUGGAACCAUCCUGCCCUUGAGCGCAGAGAUCCUAAGGCCUCUUUUAUCACCAUAUCUAGAAAGUGGUAGGUAUUCAAUGAGUCUGGUAUGAUUUCUCCCCCUUCCUCCUGUCCUCUGACUCCAUUCAGUAUUUUCAUCUUUAUUCUUUACUCUCUUCCCCCCCACCACCUUGCCCCCUGCUGUUUCUUUUCCCUGUCCCUUUUCUUGCCAUGUAAUGUUUUGUCCCUUUCUGCCUGUUUUGUGGAAAGGGUCUUAAAUUGGGAGAUCUGGCUCUGGGUCCAGUCUUGGCAUUCCUUCUGCGACCUUGCUGUGGUUGCUCAUUGCUCCAAGCCCCAGGCUCCCCCUCUGAACACGUCUGUUGGACUAUGGGUGGUUCCACACUAAGGUGGCACCAUCUCUGACCCAGGGGCAUGUGGAAAUGGCGUGGACCAUUUUUUUUUAGUUGUCACAAUGCCUGGGAGUUGCCAUUCACAUUUAGUGGGCAGGGACUGGGGAUGCGAAACCUGAAAUGCUCGGAAGAUCCCAUCCAAAUGCCAAUAGAACCCUCAUGCAGAAACACAAGUAGAUGGUCUCUUAGGGUUCCAGCAAUUAAUUCAGUGAUUCUACGAUUCGUAUACUUCUCUCUAUGCUUCUUACUCCAUAAGGGAGUGAAAGCUGUUUCUCUUUAAUGCUUUCUGUCUCUCUGUCACAAGAGACCGGAGCUCCCUUUUUAUAGAAACUGAUCUAAACAAUGGAAGGGUCACUUUGGCCCUUGGAACCAUUUCUGUCAUCCCUCUUAGUUUCAGCAGCCGUAGUCGCCAGCAUCAGCCUGGUACAUCCCGCAGGUACUGCAUAUAAAGCUCGUAAUAGCCUAUAAUGGAGUCUCAUGGAUAUUACAUGCUUCCAAAUCCCACAUUAUCUGGUUGGGGGGAUUAAAGAGAAGAUUGGGAGGGGGGAGGGACACAGCGGGCCCCGGGGCUGGUGUCAGUACACAGAGGCACGCAGCGUGCCCAAUUCAUUUGCCAUGGCCCCCGCCUACCCAGCAUUCACCACUGGUGAGAAGCAAUGAAUGCCUCUGCCUCUUUAAAGCUCAGCAGAGGAAGGAUGCUGGAGAAAUCACCACUAGCCAACAGACAGUCUUUUUUCCUGUGGCCUCCCAAAAGAACUUCAGAUUGGUUCUCAGGAGAAGAAGAAAUGAUCCUGAACAAAUGGAAAGGACAGAAUGAGAGGAGCCUUCUCCGGAGGCACAGACUUUCUAGGCACCAGCCUAGGUCACAAGGGUCCCUGUAGUGAGCGCUCCCUCCAGGCUCUGUGACUGCUUGACCAAUAGAGUAUGGUGGAAGUCACAAUGGGACACCUUCUGGCCCAGGACUUAAGAGACUGAAAGCUUCUUCUUCUUGUCUUGGAGCAUUUACUACUGUUGGAGCCCUGGGCCUCCAUGUUAGAAGUCCAGCCACCCUGUGAAAGAGACCACAUGGGGAAGCCCUGAGACUACAUGGAGAGCCAGACAUGAGAGGGAAACCAUCUUGGACCCCCAGCCCAGCCUAGCCACCAGCUCAAUACCACUGAGUGACCCAGUUUAUGCCACAUGGAACAAAAGAAUCAUCCAGCCAAACCCCGUCUGAAUUCCUGGACUACACAAUUGUGAGAUAGAAUACAACGAUCGUUGUUUUUAGCUACUAAGUUUCGGGGUCGUUUUUUUAUGCAGCCAUAACUGAA